Molecule: ribozyme, 69 nt
Filed under: unclassified sequences
Description: HDV ribozyme from F. prausnitzii
Rfam family: HDV ribozyme from F. prausnitzii
Source: RNAcentral
CAUGCUCCAAUAUGCUACCUCUCUGUGGUGAGCAGCAGGCAACGAGAACCUAUCUCGGCUAAAGCACAU